This 88-nucleotide transfer RNA is filed under the name Anaeromyxobacter diazotrophicus. RNAcentral's name for it is "tRNA-Gly". The record is from RNAcentral. Lineage: Bacteria; Pseudomonadati; Myxococcota; Myxococcia; Myxococcales; Anaeromyxobacteraceae.
CCAGCCGAAGGCGUUCCUGGAGCGCGCCGGCUUCCACCCGGCGGCGCUCGACCUCGGCGUCGAGCCGCUCGACCCGGCGCGGGUGAGC